This 3437-nucleotide long non-coding RNA is filed under the name Cottoperca gobio. Its description in RNAcentral is "lncRNA (ENSCGOG00000003600.1)". The record is from RNAcentral. Lineage: Eukaryota; Metazoa; Chordata; Actinopteri; Perciformes; Bovichtidae.
UUUUUUACACAUAAUUAGCAUUUAAAUCUCUUUCCUACAGUCUCAUGCCCUCCCUCCAUCGCUCUCUCUCGCCUCUCUUACUCCAGCAGACUCUACAUGUCUCAGUCGCUAAGGCAACCGAUGCUUUUUUUUUUCUUCUCACUUGCUCUCUGUAUCUCCCCGUUUCUCUCGGUCUCCCUCGCUCAUUCCCUCUCUCCACUGCCAGAGGUAGGCAUGAUAACUGAUAUGUGUCGGAGUGUGUCUGUGUUUGUGUCCGUCUCCCGGUGUGCUCGUGUGUCUCUGAAGUGACAUUUCUGUGGCAUUUAGGAAGCAGUUGUGGAACGGGAAGUUGCCUCUCUGCUCAAAGUGCCAUAUAGAGUAUUGGCUCCUUGCAUGAUGCUUCUAAUGAUGAUGAAUGUUCUGUGCUCAGGUGUGUGUGCACUGUAAACGUGUGUGAGAGAGCAGCACAGACUACGAGUGUGUACUUCUGGGUGUUUUUGACUGCAGAUGUGGAUUCUGUAGAAACAUGUGGCGCAUAAUUGAGCGUUAAAUUUAAAAGCCCAGAGGAGUCUGAGAAUGUUUUUUUUUUUUUUUUUUUUUUUUAUAUAAAAGAUGACAGUUGGAUUUCUGCCAAUACUCCUGCUGGUGUCUAUGUUUACAUGUUCUUUUUUAUCUGGCAACAUAAAAGAAGAAGAAAAAAAAAAAGCUGGACCCUCCCCCUCCCUCUCCCUCUCUCCCCCUCCCUCUCUCUCCCUCCCUUGCCCCUCUGUCCUAUCUUACAGAGAGAGAUGAUCGGAGGAGCGGAGUCUCAGUGAACAGAGCGAAGCGAUGGAGAGAUGGUAAGACGGAUAGGAGCUGAGGUGAAGGGGAGAUGUAUGGGGUGCAGAUGCAGUAAAUGUCCUACUGAGUGAUUGCUGGCACAAGAAUCCAUUUGUGAGCUGAUGAGGUCGUGCAGGACGCCUGUGGACAACACAUUUUCUCAGAUAACUUCUUUGUCACUCCACCACUUCUCAUUCUUUCUCCUCCACUUUUCUUGCAGCUCCAUCUCUCCUGUCGCACGACUGACUGCCCUCGUCUCCCUCCUGCUGGUUGCUCUGGUGACACAGCCCUCCACCUGUAACCGUGACGACAGCGAGGGCGAGGAGCAGGUGGACGCCCUGUCGGUCCAGCUGUCCGUCACGGCCCAGGUCACACCCACCCCUCUGUGGGCGGUGGUCUGGGGUCCCACGCAGCCUCUGGAGGACGAGACCUACCACUUCCUCUCCAGCCAGGAAACGGAUCCCCUGCAUCGGCACGGGAACCAUCAGGAGGCGAGCACCGCCGCGUCAGACUGGCCUGCGAGCAUGCAGCCCCGAGAGGAGGCUCCGCUGGAGUCGAAGGACCGGGGGGGAGUGGAGGAUGCAGGGACGGAGGCGGAGGAGACGGAGCCUGAGGAAGUGGACCCUCAGUUCUACGUCACCGUGACCAUCUCCUCGCUGCUCAUCCUGACGGCAGUCGUGAUUACAGCCAAACUCUGGAUCCCAGUUGUGAACCUCUGAGUGACUGUUUUUCCAUAUGGUAAACAUAUCUACGGGGCCUGAGGAGGAGCAUCAACACGACCGGAGGGUGCGCCCGCAGCGCCGUUUUAUUUUCCUGAAACUGUGAAAUAAAUCCAGGGGUCCCAGAUAUCCAGCCAUCACAGAAACUCCUCGACUUCCCCGAGGUGUAACAAACCCAAACAUCUCCCUGCUGCUCCCUCCUUCCUCUUCCUUCCUCUGUGCUCGGUGUAAUUGUCUUUCAUGUGGCUCUGCGUCCCUGUUACCUGCUCCCUGUUUUUCAUCCCUCGUUUGGCCUCGAGGUCCGACAAGCCAACCAAGCGCUCUGCGCCUCGGGCAGCCAUGACUAAUUCACAAGCAAGCAGUUUAACAGACGUGCAACAUCCCAUUACCACUGGAAGACCCCUACCUGUGCUACUACAGCUGACUCAUCUGAUCAGUAUGUAUCCCCAUCCUGCAGACUGUUCUUUCAUUAAACUCACUUCGCUUGUUUCUGGUUCACAAAUGGUUAAAAAGCCAUUCUCAGCAUCUCCAAACACUGAACGGGGUAUUUCACAAAGCUGUUUGGCACGGCUGUAGCCAACAGGCAAUGUGUUUAACAUGUCACGCUCCAAAAACUGCUGUUUAUUCCCCGCUUUGGGCGCCUGAAAUGCAAAUAGUGUGGCUUUUUUUUCCUUCUUCUUCUUCUUCUUCUCCUCUGUAGUGAAGAGGAGUCGCUUUUGUUUGAGUUUUUUCCUCAUGAUUUGUUUUCUUAAUUAUCUGGCUGACGUUCACCUCUUUGCGAGCUCCACUCUGUUCCUGCUGGACUGUGUUAGAGGUGCGCUAAGCAUCGAGCACUUCCAGUGGUGGAGAUAAAAUAUUCAGAGCGGAUAGAAGAGGCAUAGCUGUUGAAAAUCAAUGAUUCCCAAAGGUCUUGGAUGGUGCGCAACAAAGACAGGUUUAUGUGGAAGUGUGUGAACCGUGCGUGUGAUCAAAGGACGGAUGUUACCGCGACAAGGAUUUUAUUUCCCCACCUCACAGCCAAGUAUAUCAAUCUGGAAAACAAAACCACCAUAAUCCCCCCCCCCCCCCCCUUCAUCAUGUCUCGAGUCUUCGGCGCACCAAAGCAUCAAGGAGCUUCAUUUCUGUCUUCUCAACCAAUCUGCAUGUAUACAGUAAGAAAACCUGUGAGAGUAGCUUCAAAUCUAUUAUUUAUAAAUGUCUAUUUUACCUAUCGGCGAGUGAUGUCUUAUAGAAACUUUCAAAGCCAGAUGUCAGUUUGUGUUUGGCAACUUUUCUAAGCAGCUUUGAAACAUGAAACCCCUCUUACACAUCUCCUCCUCAGACACAUUAGUGCUGGUGGAAUCAUGCGUGGCUCGUGCAAUCCUCCAGAUAUCCAGUCUUGUGAUUUUUGAGUAGCAUUCCUGUAGAAAUGUGGUCUUUCUGUACCAUGGAAGUUCAAUAAAGACUCAACACUGGCGUUUUAGCUCUGCCGUCUAUCUGCUUCUUUCUGUGCAUGCUCAAUGAAUUCCCCUGGGAGCUGCAAUGCUUUAUGGGAAGGACACAAAGCUUACACUGUGCAUUUUAAUAGCUAACUCGUAAUCUUUUCCUCCCUGAAGUGAACAUUUAGUCCACUGGCAUUGAUUUUCGAAACCAUAGGCUUGGCAUUAAAAAGUCCUGCAAUGUGCCAAUCAUGUUUCUACCAGUGAGGAGCUGAAAAGGAGCCGAAGAAUAAGGCGGCGGCUGCUUGUGUCGGAAGCUUUCUCCUUAUCUCCUCACCUCAUAUGGAUUCCUCUUGCUUCACAAAGAUUAACAGGAUGCUAAGCAAGUAUUUCCUCUGUGUACAGUUUUUCAAACAAAUGUCAAUAAAAUCAAGGCGGGCGCCAGAGGACAAGUGCCACUCGUUUGUAUUGAGAUUCUCCACCACUCUGCUGCGGUUUCCAU